This 505-nucleotide ribosomal RNA is filed under the name uncultured bacterium. Its description in RNAcentral is "partial 16S ribosomal RNA". It matches the Rfam family "Bacterial small subunit ribosomal RNA", at positions 28 to 507 of the family's 1533-position model. The record is from RNAcentral.
GACGAACGCUGGCGGCGUGCCUAAUACAUGCAAGUAGAACGCACAGUUUAUACCGUAGCUUGCUACACCAUAGACUGUGAGUUGCGAACGGGUGAGUAACGCGUAGGUAACCUGCCUGGUAGCGGGGGAUAACUAUUGGAAACGAUAGCUAAUACCGCAUAAUAUUGAUUAUUGCAUGAUAAUUGAUUGAAAGAUGCUAUUGCAUCACUACCAGGUGGACCUGCGUUGUAUUAGCUAGUAGGUGAGGUAACGGCUCACCUAGGCGACGAUACAUAGCCGACCUGAGAGGGUGAUCGGCCACACUGGGACUGAGACACGGCCCAGACUCCUACGGGAGGCAGCAGUAGGGAAUCUUCGGCAAUGGACGAAAGUCUGACCGAGCAACGCCGCGUGAGUGAAGAAGGUUUUCGGAUCGUAAAGCUCUGUUGUAAGAGAAGAACGGGUGUGAGAGUGGAAAGUUCACACUGUGACGGUAUCUUACCAGAAAGGGACGGCUAACUACGUG